GAUGAACGCUAGCUACAGGCUUAACACAUGCAAGUCGAGGGGCAGCAUGACGAUAGCUUGCUAUUGUUGAUGGCGACCGGCGCACGGGUGAGUAACGCGUAUCCAACCUUCCCGUUGCUAGGGGAUAACCUUGCGAAAGUAAGACUAAUACCCAAUGACGUCUCUAGAAGACAUCUGAAAGGGAUUAAAGAUUUAUCGCUGAAAGAUGGGCUCACGUCUGAUUAGUUAGUUGGUGAGGUAACGGCUCACCAAGACUGCGAUCAGUAGCCGGACUGAGAGGUUGAACGGCCACAUUGGGACUGAGAUACGGCCCAGACUCCUACGGGAGGCAGCAGUGAGGAAUAUUGGUCAAUGGGCGCAGGCCUGAACCAGCCAAGUCGCGUGAGGGAAGACGGUCCUACGGAUUGUAAACCUCUUUUGUCGGGGAGUAACGUGCGGGACGCGUCCGUAUUGAGAGUACCCGAAGAAAAGCAUACGGCUAACUCCGUAGCCAGCAGCCG
RNAcentral lists this ribosomal RNA (500 nucleotides) under uncultured bacterium. Its description in RNAcentral is "bacterial SSU rRNA". It matches the Rfam family "Bacterial small subunit ribosomal RNA", at positions 28 to 517 of the family's 1533-position model. The record is from RNAcentral.